GACGAACGCUGGCGGCGUGCCUAAUACAUGCAAGUCGAACGCAGUGGGGACGGGUGAGUAACACGUGGGUAACCUCCCAUCAGAGGGGAUAACACUUGGAAACAGGUGCUAAACCGAUACUGAUGGAUGGACCCGGGGUGCAUUAGCUAGUUGGUGAGGUAACGGCUAACCAAGGCCACGAUGCAUAGCUGACCUGAGAGGGGGAUCGGCCACACUGGGACUGAGACACGGCCCAGACUCCUACGGGAGGCAGCAGUAGGGAAUAUUGGGCAAUGGACGAAAGUCUGACCGAGCAACGCCGCGUGAGUGAAGAAGGUUUUCGGGUCGUAAAGCUCUGUUGUUAGAGAGGCGGUAUCUAACCAGAAAGCCACGGCUAACUCCGUGCCAGCCGCCGCGGUAAUUC
This 403-nucleotide ribosomal RNA is filed under the name uncultured bacterium. RNAcentral describes it as "partial 16S ribosomal RNA". It matches the Rfam family "Bacterial small subunit ribosomal RNA", at positions 28 to 526 of the family's 1533-position model. The record is from RNAcentral.